AGUGAACGCUGGCGGUAGGCCUAAUACAUGCAAGUCGAACGGAAACACAGUAAGAGUUCGCCUCUACGGGUGGCGAGGGGCGGACGGGUAAGGCGUAGAUAGGCAUCUAAUUUUUCGGGGGGGAUUACGUAGGAACACUUCUGCUACUACAGAAUAUAUUCUACCGGUGGAUGCAGUAGUUAUAGGCAGCUUUGCUGUCUGAUUGAGAUGGAGCCGGGCCGCAUUAGCUAGUUGGUAAGGUAACGGCAUACCAAGGCAACGAUGCGUAGCCGACCUGAGAGGAUGAUCAGCCACACUGGAACUGAGACACGGUCCAGACUCCUACGGGAGGCAGCAGUAGGGAAUAUUCGACAAUGGGCGCAAGCCUGACGCAGCAACGCCGCGUGGGUGAUGAAGGCCUUCGGGUUGUAAAGCCCUUUUGUUGGGAAAGAAAAAAAGCAGAAUUAUACCCCGCUGUCCUGACGGUACCCAAAGAAAAAGCCCCGGCUAACUUCGUG
This 497-nucleotide ribosomal RNA is filed under the name uncultured bacterium. RNAcentral's name for it is "partial 16S ribosomal RNA". It matches the Rfam family "Bacterial small subunit ribosomal RNA", at positions 29 to 507 of the family's 1533-position model. The record is from RNAcentral.